Molecule: long non-coding RNA, 1002 nt
Organism: Micropterus dolomieu (smallmouth bass)
Lineage: Eukaryota; Metazoa; Chordata; Actinopteri; Centrarchiformes; Centrarchidae
Exons: 4
Source: RefSeq, a predicted model, not a curated record
CAAGGAAGAGAAAAUAUCAAUCCUCGCUCAAGAAGACAUCUCAUCUGUCAUCAGAGAAGCACCAGUGUUAGUCUCAGAGCGAGACAUGGAGAGAUGGAAGAAAAGGGAGCUGGAGCUAGCCCAAGAAAAACCAAAGUCAACUGAAGUGAAUGCUUGAAUGUCUUGGAAUAUUGUAAAAAGGCACUGUCUGUAGAUGGAAAAGGGACUAUAUCACUAAGCUGAUUCAGUUCUACAUGUUCAAGUAAGCGUUCAAGUUGUUUAUGUAAGACUAUAUGGGAAUUACACCCAUCUUUGAGUGCCUUACUGAUGUGCUUAAACAUGGAAGCCUUGGUGUGAUUACAUAGCUAUGAGCGAGACAAUAACACCGUCUUGUUUUCUAGGAAACUGUCACAAUGCAGUAAUUAAAUAUGGUGUGAUUAAUAAUCAAUUACCACCAAGCUCCCCCUGUAAUGUACAAAGUUUGGUCAGGUGUACCACAGGAAUGUUUUCUGGUUGGUAAUUACUGAUGUGUUGUGCUAUACAUUUUAUAAUAUAUAGAUCUGGGACUCGUGAGUCACACAUGGAGGAUGAAAAAGAGCAAGUAAGCAGUAUCAGUCUGUUACUGUUCUCUGAUUAAGUGCCUAAUUAACAGUCAUUUUUUUACUCUCUGACCAUUUUAGAAUUGAGAACUCUCUGCUAAACAUUGAGAAAAAAACACAGCAUUCGGAGAAGAUGGCAAGAAUCUGAUUUAAUCUUUCAGUCUACCCUUAAAGAAGUUGACUGUGAUGUCAGAGGCCAACUGAUCUGGAAGGCUAGAACUGAAUCAAAGGAGAGAGCCGUCCUCCUCCAUCUGAAGAGAAAAUAUCCAGGGCAUUGCCAUUAGACUGUCCAAGCAGGUUGCCAACUCCAACAAGAGACUGAGACAGGCAAUAAAAGAGUACAACAGCAUUCAGUGGCCACCACAGAUCAGCAUCUGCAAUCUCAUUUGCAGCUGUAUCAUACAAAUAAAUAGUUAAAAAAUCA